Molecule: small nuclear RNA, 63 nt
Filed under: Sorex araneus (European shrew)
Lineage: Eukaryota; Metazoa; Chordata; Mammalia; Eulipotyphla; Soricidae
Description: U7 small nuclear RNA (ENSSARG00000018889.1)
Rfam family: U7 small nuclear RNA
About the family: Animal histone pre-mRNAs are spliced by a different mechanism than nuclear pre-mRNAs and self-splicing introns.
Source: RNAcentral
AAGUGUUACAGCUCUUUUGGAACCUGUCUAGUAGGUAUUCUGAUUGUUACAAGAAAUUCCACC